GUUUCCGUGGUGUAGUGGUUAUCACGCGCGUCUCACACACGCGAGGUCCCCGGUUCGAUCCCGGGCGGAAACA
This 73-nucleotide transfer RNA is filed under the name Leptotrombidium deliense. RNAcentral describes it as "tRNA-Val for anticodon CAC". Lineage: Eukaryota; Metazoa; Arthropoda; Arachnida; Trombidiformes; Trombiculidae. The record is from RNAcentral.